CCUACGGGAGGCAGCAGUGGGGAAUAUUGCACAAUGGGGGAAACCCUGAUGCAGCAAAGCCGCGUGAGUGAAGAAGUAUCUCGGGAUGUAAAGCUCUAUCAGCACGGAAAAAGAUGCCGGUACCUGACUAAGAAGCACCGGCUAACUACGUGCCAGAAGCCGCGGUAAUACGUAGGGGGCCAGCGUUAUCCGGAUUUACUGGGUGUAAAGGGAGCGUAGACGGUGAGACAAGUCUGCAGUGAAAGCCCGGGGCUCAACCCCGGGCCUGCUUUGGAAACUGCCAGACUGGAGUGCGGGAGAGGCAAGCGGAAUGCCCGGUGUAGCGGUGAAAUGCGUAGAUAUUAGGAAGAACACCAGUGGCGAAGGCGGCUUGCUGGAUACUAACUGACGUUGAGGCUCGAAAGCGUGGGGAGCAAACAGGAUUAGAUACCCGAGUAGUC
RNAcentral lists this ribosomal RNA (440 nucleotides) under uncultured bacterium. RNAcentral's name for it is "partial 16S ribosomal RNA". It matches the Rfam family "Bacterial small subunit ribosomal RNA", at positions 338 to 795 of the family's 1533-position model. The record is from RNAcentral.